This 428-nucleotide ribosomal RNA is filed under the name bacterium. RNAcentral describes it as "partial 16S ribosomal RNA". It matches the Rfam family "Bacterial small subunit ribosomal RNA", at positions 355 to 776 of the family's 1533-position model. The record is from RNAcentral.
UGGGGAAUCUUCCGCAAUGGGCGCAAGCCUGACGGAGCAACGCCGCGUGAGUGAAGAAGGUCUUCGGAUCGUAAAGCUCUGUUGAUGGGGACGAACGUGCCUAAUGCGAAUAGUAUUAGGUAUGACGGUACCCAUCGAGGAAGCCACGGCUAACUACGUGCCAGCAGCCGCGGUAAUACGUAGGUGGCGAGCGUUGUCCGGAAUCAUUGGGCGUAAAGGGAGCGCAGGCGGGCAUGUAAGUCUUUCUUAAAAGUGCGGGGCUCAACCCCGUGAUGGGAAAGAAACUAUGUGUCUUGAGUACAGGAGAGGAAAGCGGAAUUCCCAGUGUAGCGGUGAAAUGCGUAGAUAUUGGGAGGAACACCAGUGGCGAAGGCGGCUUUCUGGACUGCAACUGACGCUGAGGCUCGAAAGCCAGGGGAGCGAACGGG